UACGUAGGGUGCAAGCGUUGUCCGGAAUUAUUGGGCGUAAAGAGCUCGUAGGCGGCUUGUCACGUCGACUGUGAAAACCCGGGGCUCAACUCCGGGCCUGCAGUCGAUACGGGCUGGCUUGAGUGCGGUAGGGGAGACUGGAAUUCCUGGUGUAGCGGUGAAAUGCGCAGAUAUCGGGAGGAACACCAGUGGCGAAGGCGGCGACCUGGGCCAAUACUGACGCUGAGGUGCGAAAGCGUGGGGAGCGAUCCGG
Molecule: ribosomal RNA, 253 nt
Filed under: uncultured bacterium
Lineage: Bacteria
Description: partial 16S ribosomal RNA
Rfam family: Bacterial small subunit ribosomal RNA
Source: RNAcentral